GGGGGAUGGAUAGAGAUGGGAUCUUGCUAUGUCACCCAGGUUGGUGUUAAAUUCCUGGCUUCAAGUGAUCCUCUUACCUUGGCCUUUCAAAGUGCUGGCAUUACAGGUGUGAACUACUGCACCUGACUGUAACUGGAAUUUAAAUUGUGUAGUUGGAGGACUGGUGUUAACUAAAAUAUGGUGACUGAAAUUCAUGCGUAUCAGAACUGUGCAGAAUAACUUCCUAUAUUCUGUUUCUUCAGUAACAAAACAUUUUCAAAUUAGUUUUCGUCUUUAGUUAAUUAUGAUCUCUGUGUACUGCUGAGCUUACUGAAUUCAAUUUAAAAAUAAAGCUGUUAAUACUAUCAGUUGACUUACUGAGUCAUAAAAAAUUUAAGGUGACUAGGUAAAAUGAAGCUUUUGUAAUUCUAUAAAUUACAUUUGAAUUACUUGGAACUCUUAAAUGCAACUGAAAUCUAAUUGGCUAAAUUCAGUUAAAAACAGGCUUUUUGGGGGGGGCAUUCUUUUUUUUUUUUUCAUAAUAAAAUAAAGUCAGUUUAUUAAAUGCUCAAUUCUCAAAAUUAUGUAUUUUUUCAUUAUUUAAAAAAACUUCCAUGCUCUUUCAUUCCCCUCCCUCCACUAGGUAUUGUCCAAGUUUUAUCAAAGUCCACAAAGUAUAACAUGUACCCAAAAGCAGAGAAGACAGGAGGUUUGGAGGACAAGGCACGCUGGGUCACUACCCGCACUGCAGAGUCCGCAAAGGCUAACUCAUGCUCGGGGCAAAGAAUGGAAAGAGUUAAUACACAAAAAAAGCAAAAGAACUGGAGUGGGCAGCCUGACCAGAGACGUUUACAGUUUAUACCAAUUUACAAAUAUUUAGGGUGCCCACCAACUCCAAGAGAACAGACCAAACUAACCCCAUAAAGGAAGACCUCUCUGCCAGGGCCUCCUCUCCCCACAACCUCCUCUGAAGAAUCAUUAGGAAGCCCAAACAGCUUCACAGUUCUGGCUUCCCAGCUACUGUCAUAUUUGCCGUCUUUGUCAUCACAGGCAAAUGCCAGCAGAGGCCUUUUGGGGUGCCAUGCCACGGUGAAGGUCGGAGACUUACACUGUACCUCCCAUAGCUUGUCCCCU
Molecule: long non-coding RNA, 1113 nt
Organism: Sapajus apella (tufted capuchin)
Lineage: Eukaryota; Metazoa; Chordata; Mammalia; Primates; Cebidae
Exons: 2
Source: RefSeq, a predicted model, not a curated record